CCCAGACUCCUACGGGAGGCAGCAGUGGGGAAUAUUGGGCAAUGGGCGCAAGCCUGACCCAGCAACGCCGCGUGAAGGAAGAAGGCUUUCGGGUUGUAAACUUCUUUUAUUCGGGACGAAGAAAGUGACGGUACCGAAUGAAUAAGCCACGGCUAACUACGUGCCAGCAGCCGCGGUAAUACGUAGGUGGCAAGCGUUAUCCGGAUUUAUUGGGUGUAAAGGGCGUGUAGGCGGGACUGCAAGUCAGAUGUGAAAAUUAUGGGCUCAACCCAUAACCUGCAUUUGAAACUGUAGUUCUUGAGUGAUGGAGAGGCAGGCGGAAUUCCGUGUGUAGCGGUGAAAUGCAUAGAUAUCACGCAGAACUCCGAUUGCGAAGGCAGCAUACCGGCGCCCAACUGACGCUGAAGCACGAAAGCGUGGGUAUCGAACAGGAUUAGAUACCCUUGUAA
Molecule: ribosomal RNA, 449 nt
Filed under: uncultured bacterium
Lineage: Bacteria
Description: bacterial SSU rRNA
Rfam family: Bacterial small subunit ribosomal RNA
Source: RNAcentral